This 253-nucleotide ribosomal RNA is filed under the name uncultured bacterium. Its description in RNAcentral is "partial 16S ribosomal RNA". It matches the Rfam family "Bacterial small subunit ribosomal RNA", at positions 524 to 776 of the family's 1533-position model. The record is from RNAcentral.
UACGAAGGGGGCUAGCGUUGCUCGGAAUCACUGGGCGUAAAGGGUGCGUAGGCGGGUCUUUAAGUUAGAGGUGAAAGCCCGGGGCUCAACUCCGGAAUUGCCUUUAAGACUGCAUCGCUAGAAUCGUGGAGAGGUAAGUGGAAUUCCGAGUGUAGAGGUGAAAUUCGUAGAUAUUCGGAAGAACACCAGUGGCGAAGGCGACUUACUGGACACGUAUUGACGCUGAGGUGCGAAAGCGUGGGGAGCAAACAGG